RNAcentral lists this unclassified non-coding RNA (433 nucleotides) under soil metagenome. Its description in RNAcentral is "partial contains 5.8S ribosomal RNA, internal transcribed spacer 2, and large subunit ribosomal RNA". The stretch from base 1 to 120 matches the Rfam family "5.8S ribosomal RNA", at positions 35 to 154 of the family's 154-position model. The record is from RNAcentral.
GAUGAAGAACGUAGCGAAAUGCGAUACGUAAUGUGAAUUGCAGAAUUCAGUGAAUCAUCGAAUCUUUGAACGCAUAUUGCGCCCUCUGGUAUUCCGGAGAGCAUGCUUGUUUGAGUAUCAGUAAACACCUCAACUUCCAUAUCUUUUUUGAAAUGGGAGUUGGACUUGAGUGAUCCCAACGCUUUUCCUCACCGAAAAGUGGCGGGUUACUUGAAAUGCAGGUGCAGCUGGACUUUUCUCUGAGCUAUAAGCAUAUCUAUUUAGUCUGCCUAAAAAACAGAUUAUUACCUUUGCUGCAGCUAACAUAAAGGAGAUUAGUUCUUGUGCUGACUGAUGCAGGAUUCACAAAGACAGGCUUCGGCCGACUUUGUAAACUCGAUCUCAAAUCAAGUAAGACUACCCGCUGAACUUAAGCAUAUCAAUAAGCGGAGGA